GCGGUGGCGCACGCCUUUAAUCCUAGCACUCAGGAGGUUGAGGCAGGUGAAUCUCUGUGAGUUCGAGUCCAGCCUGGUCUACAGAACUAGAUCCAGGACAGCUAGGGCUACACAGAGAAACCCUGUCUCCAAAAACAAAACCAAACAAAUGAAAAACUCGUUUAUAAAUAAAAUGGAGCUGGUCCUAACUCUAGACUACAUAUCAAGAGUCUGUCCCAGAAGAAAGGGAGGGAAGGAAGAAUGGUGGGAAGAAAAGAAGAGGGACUUGCAAAAGCUCCUUUAUGUUUAUAUCUAGAAUAGAGCUAGCUGAUCCUAGUUCUGAGAAUUAAAUGCAAAACAUUCACCAGCAGGACAUCUGAAAGUCUCCUAAGACAAUCCCUUGUGGUCCAGGACUAUCCUACAGGAUGCCCAACAUGGCGGGCAAGCGCCACUAAAUGCCAGUAAGCCUCCCCUUUAUUGAGACAAAAAUGCUCAAGUUCCAAUUGCCUUCAAGAAAGCAGCUCCGCCCCUCUUGAGAGUCAAGGAGGCAGGAAGUGAAGAGAGCCUAGGAGGCGCCUGGGUUCUGGCCAAGGGCGUGCCUGAAGUCCUGCGGGAGCACGACCCUAACCCAAUCUCCCAGCUUCUCCGCCGCAAAAUUCAUUGCGCUCCCCUGCCAGACGGUGGAGCUAGAGAGCCUCGUACAGGUCGGGGUCCUCCGGUUCAGGUUUGAGGCAGGGCUGACUCAACCCUCCAGGGAUGACACAGCAGGGCUGACUAGUGUGGCCUGCUAGCAACAGCUGCAUUUAUUGAAUAAUUGGCUAAUUCUUUACUUUUUUUUCAUUUAACUUUAACGACCUAUUACAAGUAGCGCGUUGGAAGGUUCAGACAGCUGCAAGCUCCGUCAAGAAAUCACUGUGAUAAGGCAGGGCGAUGUCACCAACCCCUAACCAAGAAAUUAAAAUCUCUUGCGAUCUUCUAAGUGUCCCUGGGCUCACCGCCCAGUGGGGCUGCCGCAGGCCCCUCCUCCCUCCCUGCGGUCAGCUGGGACUUCUGCGGGGGCUGAUCACAUUCAGUCACGCAGAGGCUCCGCCCACUUCCUGGCCAAUCACUGCACUGCCCUCUCCCUCCUUCGCUGCUGCAAGCACCAAAUGGAUACCCGCGCCUUUAGCCCGCCAUCUCAAGGGUUUAAGGGCUUGGGUAGUGACUUCCACAGGAAGAAGAUUCGGAGCUUGUGAAUCUAAAGCUGGCAUUGUUAGAAAGAAAUGUGGUUGGCUGACUUGCUGA
This 1263-nucleotide long non-coding RNA is filed under the name Cricetulus griseus (Chinese hamster). Its description in RNAcentral is "lncRNA (ENSCGRG00000026075.1)". The record is from RNAcentral. Lineage: Eukaryota; Metazoa; Chordata; Mammalia; Rodentia; Cricetidae.